CCGCUCCCUUUUCCCUUCUCCUUUCCGACCGUCCCACCACCGAGUUCUUCUCUCUUUCUUUCUCCUCACUUUCCGACCGACGCGUUCUCCUCCCGUUCGACGCCCUCCACCCAAUCUCCCGUUCGACCCGCCGCGCACCCUCCCCGGUCCCCGCCGAUCCGCCCCAGAAGUCCUUCCUCCCUCCACCCGUAAUUCCAUCCUCCGUCAAUUGCGCCCCCUCCGACGGCUCAAAGGCGGAAGACAUCCCUCCGAGGCCUGAAUCGCGCUUACGGCACAAGUACAGUUCCGCCAAAAUGCGGCACAAGUGGGCCCAGUUCUGCCAAAACAUGGCACAAAUUUGCCAGUCGAAAAAUCGGCACAAAAUCUUCUAAGAGGCCAUUUGGUUUCUUCGACUUAUUUUUAGUAUUUUUAGUACAUGUCACAUCGAAAGUCACAUCGAAUAUUUAGAUACUAGCA
This is a long non-coding RNA of Setaria italica (foxtail millet), 456 nucleotides long. RefSeq lists it as uncharacterized. The transcript has 3 exons. The record is from RefSeq and is a predicted model, not a curated record. NCBI's taxonomy places the organism in Eukaryota, Viridiplantae, Streptophyta, Magnoliopsida, Poales, Poaceae.